AUAGGGUUAGAAUCGAUCAACAAAAACCAAGUGGUUAAGCCUUCGUUUCUUUUUGUUUAGGCACGAUUUAGAGGACCUCUCAACAGUUCAAAAUCGUGGGAAGAGAGGGAGAGUCGCACUAGUGGAAGAAAAUAGACAUUCUUGAAUUUUUCUAGAGAGAGAAAGGGAGAAUUCGGGUUUGAGAGCUCUAGGAAAUUUCUGGGUGGUUUUGAGUGUUUGAAAUAUCUUUCCUAUGAUCUAAAGAACGUUUUUGACGUGACAAAAGGGGCUAGAAGGGUUGUUUUCAAAAAUCACAAGUUUUCACCAUUAAAGUGGGUGUUCUUGAAUAAUUUCGAAUCUAAGAGAACAUGGGAGGUUCCGGGUUUGUUUGAAGUGUUUAGAAAGCUUAGAGGGACCCUAAGAGGUGUUUUGGACGUGAAGAAACAGAUCAAAAAUGCUCUGAAACAAAAUCUUGUAUUUUGACCACCAUUUUUGGCGGUACACCGGCGACGGGGAAGACAACCAUGAUCCGGCCAUCAUGGGUCGAUUUUCUUGAGCUUCAAGGGUUAUUUGAGGUGCUGGGAUCUUUGGGAACAAAUUCCAACCGGUUUGGAGUGUCAAAAACAAGUAGAAAGAGGUGUUAGAAUCUUGCCGGCGACGGAGAAGAAGAAGAUUCCGGCGAUGCUCCGGCGAACCCGAUCUGGGUAUUUAUGGAGGAGCUAGCGGUCAUCGAGGUGACGCAGCAAGUGGUUCGAGACACGUCAGCGGAAAACGCAUUGUUUAAGGUAAAGGCAAAGCAAAGCAGUGAGUGGUGCGGGCUCAAGGCAUGGACGAAACAUGUUAGAGGCUGGGCUCCAGUUAUUUUAUGUUUUUAGAAAUAAAUGUUAUGUUUUUAAAUUUUCAGACUUGAAUGGUUAUUUUCUUUAUGUUUUGUUAUUAAACCUAGCGUCCAACAUUUUUAUUUUUAAAAUAAUGAGAUCUCAUUGUCUGCUUAAAUUUUAAAUAAAUAUGUUCUCUUAGUGUCUUAAAGUAUUUAUUGUUUAUUAUUUUUAAAUGGACUCCCUAAGUAACGUCUCGGGAAAUCGGGGCGUUACAGUAUGGUAUCAGAGAAAAACGGUCCUAAAGAAUCUGUGGUAAGCCCUAACAUGUAAAGUUCAUCGCCAAGGGACGAGCUCGACUCACUGUACCAUUAUGUGACGCCCCACAUCACUAUGGCUGCUUUAUGGAAUGACGACUAGCCCUACAAACCAAGACAAGUCUUUCCAGCGUGCUUUGUCCUCACUCGCACACUUCUUGGGAAAACUUCCCAGGAGGUCACCCAUCCCUAGAUUACUCCAGGCCAAGCACGCUUAACCAUGGAGUUCUCAAGUGAUGGGCUACCGAAAAGAAGAUGCACCUUCCUGAUAUAGGUAGUACCCAUCAAUCCAUUUAAGCCCUCUUCAACUGUGUAGUCCCAUACCUACACAGUCGUAGAAUCAUUACACUUGACCUUCCCCAGGCGGUGUGGGAUUGCACAGCUUACCCGGUCUUUCCCCUUACGGAUCACGGGAUUUUGACUGUCACAAUCACCCCCCCUUACGAGCCCGACGUCCCCGUCGACCACACUUCCGGCUGGGUCAAGGCUCUGAUACCAUUAUGUGACGCCCCACAUCACUAUGGCUGCUUUCUGGAAUGACGACUAGCCCUACAAACCAAGACAAGUCUUUCCAGCGUGCUUUGUCCUCACUCGCACAUUUCCUGGGAAAACUUCCCAGGAGGUCACCCAUCCCUAGAUUACUCCAGGCCAAGCACGCUUAACCAUGGA
Long non-coding RNA from Humulus lupulus (European hop), 1783 nucleotides. RefSeq lists it as uncharacterized. The transcript has 3 exons. NCBI's taxonomy places the organism in Eukaryota, Viridiplantae, Streptophyta, Magnoliopsida, Rosales, Cannabaceae. The record is from RefSeq and is a predicted model, not a curated record.